This 439-nucleotide long non-coding RNA is filed under the name Ananas comosus (pineapple). RNAcentral's name for it is "long non-coding RNA (ACOM_LNC009924)". Lineage: Eukaryota; Viridiplantae; Streptophyta; Magnoliopsida; Poales; Bromeliaceae. The record is from RNAcentral.
AUAUAUAUAUAUAUAUAUAUAUUUGGCUGGGUGCUAUCUAUAGCACUAAAGAUUUAGUGCUAUUGAAUUUUUCACCGUUAGAAUAUUUAAUUCUAUGAUUAUUUUUACCCAUUAGAUUAUAUUAUUCAACAAACCACUCACUCAAUCUUAGGGGGCCACAUCAUCCUAACCACUCAUUUCUCAAUCCAAGGGUUAAAAAAUCAAUAGUACAAAUAGCUUGGUGAUAUUGAUAGUAUUUCAGCCUAGUUCUAUAUAUAGAGUCUGGCUGGGGUACUAUCGAUAGUACUAAGAAUUUGGCGCUAUCGAGUUUUUUACCGUUGAUUUAAUUCUAUGAUUAUUUUUAUCCGACAUAUUAUACUAUUCAAUAAAUCACUCACUAAACUCUAGAAGGUCCAUAUCAUUCUAACCAUCCAUUUCUAUAUGUAGAAAAUAUGUUUUA